Molecule: ribosomal RNA, 504 nt
Filed under: uncultured bacterium
Lineage: Bacteria
Description: partial 16S ribosomal RNA
Rfam family: Bacterial small subunit ribosomal RNA
Source: RNAcentral
AUUGAACGCUGGCGGCAUGCCUUACACAUGCAAGUCGAACGGCAGCAUGGAGAGCUUGCUCUCUGAUGGCGAGUGGCGAACGGGUGAGUAAUGCAUCGGAACGUACCGUGUAAUGGGGGAUAACGUAGCGAAAGUUACGCUAAUACCGCAUACGACCUGAGGGUGAAAGCAGGGGAUCGCAAGACCUUGCGUUAUACGAGCGGCCGAUGUCAGAUUAGCAAGUUGGCGAGGUAACGGCUCACCAAGGCGACGAUCUGUAGCGGGUCUGAGAGGAUGAUCCGCCACACUGGGACUGAGACACGGCCCAGACUCCUACGGGAGGCAGCAGUGGGGAAUUUUGGACAAUGGGGGCAACCCUGAGCCAGCCAUGCCGCGUGAGUGAAGAAGGCCUUCGGGUUGUAAAGCUCUUUCGGCCGGGAAGAAAUCGCACAGGCUAAUACUCUGUGUGGAUGACGGUACCGGCAUAAGAAGCACCGGCUAACUACGUGCCAGCCGCCGCCGUAA